AUUGAACGCUGGCGGCAGGCCUAACACAUGCAAGUCGAGCGGAUGAAGGGAGCUUGCUCCUGGAUUCAGCGGCGGACGGGUGAGUAAUGCCUAGGAAUCUGCCUGGUAGUGGGGGAUAACGUCCGGAAACGGGCGCUAAUACCGCAUACGUCCUGAGGAAGAAAGGGGGGGUUCUUCGGCCCUCACGCUUUCAGAUAAGCCUAGGUCGGAUUAGCUAGUUGGUGGGGUAAAGGCCUACCAAGGCGACGAUCCGUAACUGGUCUGAGAGGAUGAUCAGUCACACUGGAACUGAGACACGGUCCAGACUCCUACGGGAGGCAGCAGUGGGGAAUAUUGGACAAUGGGCGAAAGCCUGAUCCAGCCAUGCCGCGUGUGUGAAGAAGGUCUUCGGAUUGUAAAGCACUUUAAGUUGGGAGGAAGGGCAGUAAGUUAAUACCUUGCUGUUUUGACGUUACCAACAGAAUAAGCACCGGCUAACUUCGUG
This 484-nucleotide ribosomal RNA is filed under the name uncultured bacterium. Its description in RNAcentral is "partial 16S ribosomal RNA". It matches the Rfam family "Bacterial small subunit ribosomal RNA", at positions 30 to 507 of the family's 1533-position model. The record is from RNAcentral.